Molecule: ribosomal RNA, 460 nt
Filed under: uncultured bacterium
Lineage: Bacteria
Description: partial 16S ribosomal RNA
Rfam family: Bacterial small subunit ribosomal RNA
Source: RNAcentral
CCUACGGGUGGCAGCAGUGAGGAAUAUUGGUCAAUGGACGAGAGUCUGAACCAGUCAAAUAGCGUGAAGGAUGACUGCCCUAUGGGUUGUAAACUUCUUUUAUAUGGGAAUAAAAUGUUCCACGUGUGGGAUUUUGUAUGUACCAUAUGAAUAAGGAUCGGCUAACUCCGUGCCAGCAGCCGCGGUAAUACGGAGGAUCCGAGCGUUAUCCGGAUUUAUUGGGUUUAAAGGGAGCGUAGGUGGAUUGUUAAGUCAGUUGUGAAAGUUUGCGGCUCAACCGUAAAAUUGCAGUUGAAACUGGCAGUCUUGAGUACAGUAGAGGUGGGCGGAAUUCGUGGUGUAGCGGUGAAAUGCUUAGAUAUCACGAAGAACUCCGAUUGCGAAGGCAGUUCACUGGACUGCAACUGACACUGAGGCUCGAAAGUGUGGGUAUCAAACAGGAUUAGAUACCCGAGUAGUC